GGCCGCGGGAAUUCGAUUCAGGCCUAACACAUGCAAGUCGAGCGGUAGAGAGAAGCUUGCUUCUCUUGAGAAAGGCGGACGGGUGAGUAAUGCCUAGGAAUCUGCCUGGUAGUGGGGGAUAACGUUCGGAAACGGACGCUAAUACCGCAUGCGUCCUACGGGAGAAAGCGGGGGACCGUCGGGCCUUGCGCUAUCAGAUGAGCCUAGGUCGGAUUAGCUAGUUGGUGAGGUAAUGGCUCACCAAGGCUACGAUCCGUAACUGGUCUGAGAGGAUGAUCAGUCACACUGGAACGGAGACACGGUCCAGACUCCUACGGGAGGCAGCAGUGGGGAAUAUUGGACAA
Molecule: ribosomal RNA, 344 nt
Filed under: uncultured bacterium
Lineage: Bacteria
Description: bacterial SSU rRNA
Rfam family: Bacterial small subunit ribosomal RNA
Source: RNAcentral